CGAGCGGAGGGCGCGGUCGAAAGAUCGUGGCCCCGCACACGGCUCAGUAACACGUAGUCAACCUACCCUUGGGACGGGAACAACCUCGGGAAACUGAGGCUAAUUCCCGAUAGGCGAGGGACGCUGGGAUGCUUCCUCGCCCAAAGCUCCGGCGCCCAGGGAUGGGACUGCGGUCUAUCAGGCUGUUGGUGGUGUAACGGACCACCAAACCUACGACGGGUACAGGCGAUGGGAGUCGGAGCCUGGAGAUGGGGACUGAGACAAGGCCCCAGGCCCUACGGGGCGCAGCAGGCGCGAAAACUCCGCAAUGCGCGUAAGCGUGACGGGGGGACCCCAAGUGCCGUUGGUCUUUUGAUCGACGGCUUUUCGGAAGUCUAUGAAGCUUCCAGAAUAAGGGCUGGGUAAGACUGGUGCCUGCCGCCGCGGUAACACCAGCAGCCCAAGUGGUGGCCACGAUUAUUGGGCCUAAAGCGCUCGUAGCCGGGUCAGCAAGUCCCUUGUGAAAUCGGGCCGCCUAACGGUUCGGCGUGCAAGGGAUACUGUUGGUCUUGAGGCCGGGAGAGGUCGGAGGUACUCCUGGGGUAGCGGUGAAAUGCUCUAAUCCUAGGGGGACCACCAGUGGCGAAGGCGUCCGACCAGAACGGACCUGACGGUGAGGGGCGAAGGCUAGGGGAGCGAACGGGAUUAGAUACCCCGGUAGUCCUAGCUGUAAAGCAUGCGGGCCAGGUGUCUAGCGCUCCUCGAGGGCGCUAGGUGCCGGAGGGAAGCCGUUAAGCCCGCCGCCUGGGAAGUACGGCCGCAAGGUUGAAACUUAAAGAAAUUGGCGGGGGAGCACCACAAGAGGUGGGACCUGCGGUUCAAUUGGAUUCAACGCCGGACAACUCACCAGGGGCGACAGUUGUUUGAGGGCCAGGUUGACGACCUUGCCAGACUAGCUGAGAGGUGGUGCAUGGCCAUCGUCAGCUCGUACCGUGAGGCGUCCUGUCAAGUCAGGCAACGAGCGAGAUCCUCGCCCUUAGUUGCCUCGGUGGAAAGCCGGGCACUCUAGGGGGACCGCUGGCGCUCAGUCAGAGGAAGGAGANGGCGACGGUAGGUCAGUAUGCCCCGAAUCCCCUGGGCUACACGCGGGUCACAAUGCGCAGGACAAUGAGAUGCAACCCCGUAAGGGAACCAAGCCCUAAACCUGCGCUCGGUUCGGAUCGAGGCUGUACUC
Molecule: ribosomal RNA, 1213 nt
Filed under: uncultured archaeon
Lineage: Archaea
Description: bacterial SSU rRNA
Rfam family: Archaeal small subunit ribosomal RNA
Source: RNAcentral